RNAcentral lists this ribosomal RNA (1536 nucleotides) under Klebsiella pneumoniae. RNAcentral describes it as "bacterial SSU rRNA". It matches the Rfam family "Bacterial small subunit ribosomal RNA". Lineage: Bacteria; Pseudomonadati; Pseudomonadota; Gammaproteobacteria; Enterobacterales; Enterobacteriaceae. The record is from RNAcentral.
UUGAAGAGUUUGAUCAUGGCUCAGAUUGAACGCUGGCGGCAGGCCUAACACAUGCAAGUCGAGCGGUAGCACAGAGAGCUUGCUCUCGGGUGACGAGCGGCGGACGGGUGAGUAAUGUCUGGGAAACUGCCUGAUGGAGGGGGAUAACUACUGGAAACGGUAGCUAAUACCGCAUAAUGUCGCAAGACCAAAGUGGGGGACCUUCGGGCCUCAUGCCAUCAGAUGUGCCCAGAUGGGAUUAGCUAGUAGGUGGGGUAACGGCUCACCUAGGCGACGAUCCCUAGCUGGUCUGAGAGGAUGACCAGCCACACUGGAACUGAGACACGGUCCAGACUCCUACGGGAGGCAGCAGUGGGGAAUAUUGCACAAUGGGCGCAAGCCUGAUGCAGCCAUGCCGCGUGUGUGAAGAAGGCCUUCGGGUUGUAAAGCACUUUCAGCGGGGAGGAAGGCGGUGAGGUUAAUAACCUCACCGAUUGACGUUACCCGCAGAAGAAGCACCGGCUAACUCCGUGCCAGCAGCCGCGGUAAUACGGAGGGUGCAAGCGUUAAUCGGAAUUACUGGGCGUAAAGCGCACGCAGGCGGUCUGUCAAGUCGGAUGUGAAAUCCCCGGGCUCAACCUGGGAACUGCAUUCGAAACUGGCAGGCUAGAGUCUUGUAGAGGGGGGUAGAAUUCCAGGUGUAGCGGUGAAAUGCGUAGAGAUCUGGAGGAAUACCGGUGGCGAAGGCGGCCCCCUGGACAAAGACUGACGCUCAGGUGCGAAAGCGUGGGGAGCAAACAGGAUUAGAUACCCUGGUAGUCCACGCCGUAAACGAUGUCGAUUUGGAGGUUGUGCCCUUGAGGCGUGGCUUCCGGAGCUAACGCGUUAAAUCGACCGCCUGGGGAGUACGGCCGCAAGGUUAAAACUCAAAUGAAUUGACGGGGGCCCGCACAAGCGGUGGAGCAUGUGGUUUAAUUCGAUGCAACGCGAAGAACCUUACCUGGUCUUGACAUCCACAGAACUUUCCAGAGAUGGAUUGGUGCCUUCGGGAACUGUGAGACAGGUGCUGCAUGGCUGUCGUCAGCUCGUGUUGUGAAAUGUUGGGUUAAGUCCCGCAACGAGCGCAACCCUUAUCCUUUGUUGCCAGCGGUUAGGCCGGGAACUCAAAGGAGACUGCCAGUGAUAAACUGGAGGAAGGUGGGGAUGACGUCAAGUCAUCAUGGCCCUUACGACCAGGGCUACACACGUGCUACAAUGGCAUAUACAAAGAGAAGCGACCUCGCGAGAGCAAGCGGACCUCAUAAAGUAUGUCGUAGUCCGGAUUGGAGUCUGCAACUCGACUCCAUGAAGUCGGAAUCGCUAGUAAUCGUAGAUCAGAAUGCUACGGUGAAUACGUUCCCGGGCCUUGUACACACCGCCCGUCACACCAUGGGAGUGGGUUGCAAAAGAAGUAGGUAGCUUAACCUUCGGGAGGGCGCUUACCACUUUGUGAUUCAUGACUGGGGUGAAGUCGUAACAAGGUAACCGUAGGGGAACCUGCGGUUGGAUCACCUCCUU